AUUGAACGCUGGCGGCAGGCCUAACACAUGCAAGUCGAGCGAGCGGCGGACGGGUGAGUAAUGUCUGGGAACCUGCCUGAUGGAGGGGGAUAACUACUGGAAACGGUAGCUAAUACCCCAUACCAUCAGAUGUGCCCCGAUGGGAUUAGCUAGUAGGUGGGGUAACGGCUCACCUAGGCGACGAUCCCUAGCUGGUCUGGGAGGAUGACCAGCAACACGGGAACUGAGACACGGUCCAGACACCUACGGGAGGCAGCAGUGGGGAAGAUUGCACAAUGGGCGAAAGCCUGAUGCAGCCAUGCCGCGUGUAUGAAGAAGGCCUUCGGGUUGUAAAGUACGUUCAGCGGGGAGGCGUUACCCGCAGAAGAAGCACCGGCUAACUCCGUGCCAGCAGCCGCGGUAAUUC
RNAcentral lists this ribosomal RNA (406 nucleotides) under uncultured bacterium. RNAcentral's name for it is "partial 16S ribosomal RNA". It matches the Rfam family "Bacterial small subunit ribosomal RNA", at positions 29 to 526 of the family's 1533-position model. The record is from RNAcentral.